ACGGAGCUAGACGCUGAUGAAUAGCUUGCUAGGAAUCUUGUUUAGCUUAGUGGCGGACGGGUGAGUAACGCGUGAGCAACCUGCCUUUCAGAGGGGGAUAACGUUUGGAAACGAACGCUAAUACCGCAUGAUAUUAAAGGGCUGCAUGGCCUGAUAAUCAAAGGAGCAAUCCGCUGAAAGAUGGGCUCGCGUCCGAUUAGGUAGUUGGUGAGGUAACGGCCCACCAAGCCGACGAUCGGUAGCCGGACUGAGAGGUUGAACGGCCACAUUGGGACUGAGACACGGCCCAGACUCCUACGGGAGGCAGCAGUGAGGGAUAUUGGUCAAUGGGGGAAACCCUGAACCAGCAACGCCGCGUGAGGGAAGACGGUUUUCGGAUUGUAAACCUCUGUCCUCUGUGAAGAUGAUGACGGUAGCAGAGGAGGAAGCUCCGGCUAACUACGUGCCAGCAGCCGCGGUAAUACGUAGGGAGCGAGCGUUGUCCGGAUUUACUGGGUGUAAAGGGUGCGUAGGCGGCUUAGCAAGUCAGAAGUGAAAUCCAUGGGCUUAACCCAUGAACUGCUUUUGAAACUGCUAAGCUUGAGUGGAGUAGAGGUAGGCGGAAUUCCCGGUGUAGCGGUGAAAUGCGUAGAGAUUGGGGGGGAACACCAAUGGCGAAGGCGGGCCUACUGGGCUCUAACCGACGCUGAGGCACGAAAGCGUGGGUAGCAAACAGGAUUAGAUACCCUGGUAGUCCAUGCUGUAAACGAUGAUUACUAGGUGUGGGUGGACUGACCCCAUCCGUGCCGGAGUUAACACAAUAAGUAAUCCACCUGGGGAGUACGGCCGCAAGGCUGAAACUCAAAGGAAUUGACGGGGGCCCGCACAAGCAGUGGAGUAUGUGGAUUAAUUCGAUGCAACGCGAAGAACCUUACCAGGUCUUGACAUCCCGCUAACGAAGUAGAGAUACAUUAGGUGCCCUUCGGGGAAAGCGGAGACAGGUGGUGCAUGGUUGUCGUCAGCUCGUGUCGUGAGAUGUUGGGUUAAGUCCCGCAACGAGCGCAACCCUUACUGUUAGUUGCUACGCAAGAGCACUCUAGCAGGACCGCCGUUGACAAAACGGAGGAAGGUGGGGAUGAUGUCAAAUCAUCAUGCCCCUUAUGACCUGGGCCUCACACGUACUACAAUGGCCAUUAACAGAGGGAAGCAAAGCCGCGAGGCAGAGCAAAACCCCAAAAAUGGUCUCAGUUCGGAUCGCAGGCUGCAACCCGCCUGCGUGAAGUUGGAAUUGCUAGUAAUCG
Molecule: ribosomal RNA, 1280 nt
Filed under: uncultured bacterium
Lineage: Bacteria
Description: bacterial SSU rRNA
Rfam family: Bacterial small subunit ribosomal RNA
Source: RNAcentral